Molecule: ribosomal RNA, 301 nt
Filed under: uncultured bacterium
Lineage: Bacteria
Description: partial 16S ribosomal RNA
Rfam family: Bacterial small subunit ribosomal RNA
Source: RNAcentral
CAGUAGCCGCGGGAAUACGGAGGGGGCUAGCGUUGUUCGGAAUUACUGGGCGUAAAGCGCGCGUAGGCGGCUUGGUAAGUUAGAGGUGAAAGCCUGGGGCUCAACCCCAGAAUUGCCUUUAAGACUGCCGAGCUAGUAGGUGAGAGAGGUAAGUGGAAUUCCGAGUGUAGAGGUGAAAUUCGUAGAUAUUCGGAAGAACACCAGUGGCGAAGGCGGCUUACUGGCUCAUUCUAGACGCUGAGGUGCGAAAGCGUGGGGAGCAAACAGGAUUAGAGACCCCUGUAGUCCCUGUCUCUUAUAC